CCUACGGGAGGCUGCAGUGGGGAAUAUUGCACAAUGGGCGCAAGCCUGAUGCAGCGACGCCGCGUGCGGGAUGGAGGCCUUCUGGUUGUAAACCGCUUUUGUUCAAGGGCAAGGCUCUGUCUUUUGCCGUGUUUAGUGUAUUGUUCGUAUAUGCACCUGCUAACUACGUGUCAGCAGCCGCGGUAAUACGGAGGGUGCAAGCGUUAUCCGGAUGUAUUGGGCGUAAAGGGCGCGUAGGCGGUUCGUCGCGUCAGGUGUGAAAGUGUAUGGCUUAACGGUGGAUCCGCGCCGGUUACUGGCGGGCUUGAGUGCGGUAGGGGAGACUGGAAUUCCCGGUGUAGCGGUGGAAUGUGUAGAUAUCGGGAAGAACACCAAUGGCGAAGGCAGGUCACUGGGCCGUAACUGACGCUGAGGAGCGAAAGCGUGGGGAGCGAACAGGAUUAGAUACCCCUGUAGUC
RNAcentral lists this ribosomal RNA (458 nucleotides) under uncultured bacterium. RNAcentral's name for it is "partial 16S ribosomal RNA". It matches the Rfam family "Bacterial small subunit ribosomal RNA", at positions 338 to 795 of the family's 1533-position model. The record is from RNAcentral.